GAACUGUUUAAAGAACUGCUGGGGAGAGUUCAAGACUGGCAGGUUCCAGUAAGGAAGAAGGACAAGGAUGGCAAGAUGCUGCCAGACCUACCUGAUUUCAUCAGCACUUUCUACGUUUAUUUCACAUUUCCAGCGUCCACUAUAUUUUGCUUUUAUUGGAGGUGGAUUUUCUUCUUUUGAAUUUGUGGGAUCGUGCCUCAGUUCAAUUGAGGCAUUCCAGAGACCACUUGAUGAUUGUUUGGAUAGAAACAAAAAUGUGCAGGGCUAUGGAUGGAAAGAGAAGGGUGUCUGGCAUUACGUAAUGAUAUUAGUUUGAAGAGCUGAUGCAGGCAAGAUGGGUUGAAUAGCCUCCUUCUGCACUAUGAUAACUUUGUGGUCCUGUGAUUAUACAUGCAGUGAACAUCACUUCACGUUGAGACAGGUUAUUCCUACACUGCUAGAUCUCGCUGGGAAGAUUUUCCACAUCCAAGUGAAUCCACUGAACAAGUUAUAGCUAAGCACUUAGAGAAGUUCAACAUAAUCAGGAACCAUCAGCAGAGCUUUGUGAAAUGGAAACUAUACUGAAGCAAUUUAGUAAACAUCUUUGAAGAAGUAACAUAUGCUGUGGGUAAAGGAGAGCCUGUGGAUGUUCAACACUUGGAUUUCCAGAAGUACCAUAUCCUCUGGUAUAGCAAGCAGUGUAUUAGCAUAGCAUGAUCAGAAGAUUGACUGGCUGGCAUUAAACAGACAACAUGUA
Rhincodon typus (whale shark) is the source of this 736-nucleotide long non-coding RNA. RefSeq lists it as uncharacterized. The transcript is spliced from 2 exons. The record is from RefSeq and is a predicted model, not a curated record. NCBI's taxonomy places the organism in Eukaryota, Metazoa, Chordata, Chondrichthyes, Orectolobiformes, Rhincodontidae.